Molecule: long non-coding RNA, 19626 nt
Filed under: Lynx pardinus (Iberian lynx)
Lineage: Eukaryota; Metazoa; Chordata; Mammalia; Carnivora; Felidae
Source: RNAcentral
GUUUAACGGGACCAAUUUCUGGAACAUUCGGGACUGCGGCACCCUACGGCCAAGACCGAGAUUUGGGUCUGCGCAGGCGACGAUGGGUGGUCCGACGGGCUUCAGGACUUGAUGGCGUAACCCCCUUCUUCCCCCACGUACGUAUCUGCUGGGAUCGGGGGCGAUGUCUCUGCGUAUGUGGGUGCUCUGUCUUUCUCACCUUCUUUCUCGCUUUUUUGCUAUUUUUUCUCUGAGAGAGGUUUUUUGUGUGUUUUUUUUUUUUUUCCACUUUAAUUUUCUUUUCUUUUAGUGUCAGCUGCUCAAGCCUGACCGGGGUAGAGGCUAGAGGAGCAAGCUGUCCCCAGCGUCCCACCUGACCUACCAGCCUUUGCCCCCGUUUCCUUCUUUUGAACAGACAGACAGACUGGUUUUCCAGGUUGUUUGGGUAUCCGCGUCUGUCUGUCCAUCCACGUCGUUCUUAGGUGGCAGGUAGGAAGUGAGGAGGAGAGGUGCUGGGAGGAAGGUGGAAAGCCAUAGCUUUCCAGGGGUUGCCUUAUUGAAAUGUUCAGCCUCGGGGCAGCUGGGCUGGUGGGGAGCCGGUGGGCAGGAUGGGGCGUGGGUUGGGAGAAGUGGGGUAAAGCUGGUAGGUUUGUCACUGCGUAGUUGGGAAAAGUGGGGAAUGGUGACGCAGUCACUGUUGCAUCUUGUUAGGAGCUCCAAGGGGGACAGGUAGUGAGGCUCCCGGCAUCUGUAGGGCCAGCUGAGAGGGGUUAGGGAUGAGCUGAGAAGGGAAGCUAGCAUUUAGAGAUUAAAUGUCAUCCUUUUGGCGUUGGAAAGUUGUUUACCUUGCGCUCUCUGUGUCUCCAUGUUGGCACCCUUCCAGUUCACAUGUGAUGGCCUUCCUUGUACUGCUGCAUCAUUAACUAAGUGACUGAGCUGGCCUUCCAUUGGCCAGGGGAGGGCUCUCACUCCAGACAUUUCCUCUGAUUGGUGGGUGGGCCAAUGGCAGGUGAAAACCUUUUUUUGAUUGGCUGAGGGCAGGGUAUCAAAUCUGAAUUUGCAUUUCACUUGCUUAAAGGGGAGGGGGGGAGAAGCCCAGCAGCUUUCUAAAAUCUGUUUAGGGGUGUGCGUAUGCUCCUGUGUCUGUGCCUGCUUUUGACUGACCAGGUGAAGCCUCUUCCUAUGCCUUUUUUAUUUCAAGCACUCAGAGGAAGAGGAGCUCCGGGUUCCCCAAACUUUUUUUUUUUUUUUUGGAGUAGGAAGGGUUGGAGAGAUGGGUGCGCAGAGGGUUGACCAAACUGGAAGGAAGUAUUUGUCCUUUAGUUUGGUGUCGGAAAAGGGAAUUUUCCAAUCAGCCACACCUCGGUGUUGCGGCACAAUCAUUCUUGGCUCCCCUGGAAACGCACGGGGCAAGGUAGGACAGAUCUGCUGCUGCUGACACUGCCACCACCAUGGGCUUCCUGCUGCCUCUGGGCUGCUCCCUGGGGACGACAGAUUUGCAUUGACGGGGCUGUCCAGAGCUGAGCCCAGUGUGGGAAAGACCUGCCUUCUGGAAGCUGCUGCUCCUUGGUCUUGGAAAGGUGAGGAUGGGGACUGACCCCAGGAUGUUGCUCAGAAACUGCGCAUUUGGUGGGAUUUCCGGGAGAGCCACUGGGCCGCAAGAGGUUUGGAGGUCCCAGGUUAGGAAGGUUUGUCAUUCUGGGGAGUGAGGAGAGUGAGAGCAAAACUAGGGCAGCAGGCUGUUCGCCUGUGGUUGGGGGAGGGAGACUUGGAAAAAUCAGGGUCCCGGCUCCCCAUCGAGUCCGUGUUGCAGGUCUCACGUUUGUGGGGAGGGGGUUUCAGAGCCCUGCGCCUUGCGCAGUGGCCCCCGCCCAUGACUGCGCAUCCGGGAGCGCAAUGCGCCCUGGGUCGCUGGCCUAGGACAGCACCGCCCUUCUUCUUACAUAACGGAGGCACGGCUGUGCCUUCUCGGCCUUUCUUUGCAACCCUGCCUCCUGGCUCCCCAGGGCCCAUGGAGCUGGGGAGGGUCUGGUUGGGGAGCAGGGGAAGACUUGGCUCCCUCGGAGGGUUAGCCCUCGUCCAGUCAGUGAUGGGAGUUGGGUUUGAAGACAGAAGUGGGCUGCUGUCCCCCUUGGGAGGUGGUACGCAGAAUGUCCUUCUCAAUGCCCUGUGUCACCCAUGGCCCCCAGGACCUCUCGGGGGCAUGGGGUGUGACGUCCGUUCUUUCCUUCUUAUGCUUUCUGGGUUUUGAGAGGAAGUUUCUGAAGGGAAAGACAUGACGAUUCUAAGAGUGAGGAAGGGUGUGUGUCGGGGGCCCAGUUGGGAGGUGGUUGACAGUUCACUCCCCUUGUCACUGGCUUCCCUUUCCUUGGGUGGGUUGAUAGUGUUUUUGACUCCUUUUAUCCUAAGGCUGCCAUUUUGGAGGCAUUUCUGCUGGUCUCUGACAUGGUGGCGUUGGUUUUUCUGGUCCUGCUGUGCCAGUUCCGCAGAGUGGGCGGGGGGCGGGGGCUGUGACGGAGGAGGGGAGGGGGGGCAGAAGCGCAGCAGAGGCGGGCCCAGUGGUGGCUGCCGCAGUGAAGGUGGCCCCAGGGGCAGGACCGCCCAGUCCCACCCUCGGACACAGUCUUGGGUGGGGGUUCCACCACCUGGGGCCCCGGCUUGGCCAGAGGGUGGGCAUUGCUAACAGAAGGCCUGGGUCUCCCAUGCCCUCGUUGGCCUGAGGCUUAAAGCAGUCCAGGGCAGAAGCUGAGUUUUUUUGGGGGGGGUGUGUGUGUGGAGGGGGCGACUGAAGGCAGAGACCUGGCUGCUCAUCUCAGACGUGUCGGACCUGUGGUUUGUGUUCCCCAAAUAGGCUCUGUCUCCGACAGUUUCUCUAUGGGGACAAGGGGGUGGGGUCCAAGGCAGCUUUGAGGAUUUGUUCGAUGGCCCUCCCUUCUCAUUGUUUUUCUUUUCUGCUCCUCGUCAUGCCCCCUGCCAGUGCCAUGGUUCCAGCUGUAGUCCUCCGGUGAGGCUCCCUGCUGCCCGUCCCUCUCCUUUCCAGGCCCUUCUGCGUGCAGCGGCCAUCUUGUCUUUUCUUGCUUAGAGGUUUAAAAUGGUUUCUCAUCAUUUCCAGAGUACAAUUCCUUCCCUUUGGCACAGUGCUGAGGACUGUCUGUAACUAGCCUUAGCUCUCCUCUGCAGUCUUACUCUUCUGCGUUUCCCCAGGUGGACCACGUAUUCCAACAAAGCCAGGCAACUCACUUUUUCUUGCUUUUCCUAUCUCUCGGUUUUCCCUACUGGUAUUUUCCAUGCCUCCUUGGCUCCACCGCACCCACCUGCGGCAGCCCCACCGUCCUCCUUGGACCUUUCCCGAUCACCUUCACAAGCAGCAGUCCUCGUAACCUCUCCUUGCUCCCUCCGGCCAAGCUCUCGUACACUUUGUCCCUCUCGUGUGCUACUUCGGUGGCCUUACGGCUCUUGGUGUAGAAGUCUUGGGUCACCUACGAGAUGAUGAGCUGCAAGACGCUGAGAGUCAAGGAAGGAAGACACUUAACCUAUUUGGUGCCUUCUGUUCGCCAGGUGCCACGUCAGGCUGUUCCACGGACCUUCUUUCAUUUACUGCUUUCCACAACCCUCCGAGGAGAGUCCCGUGACUGGUAAGUGUUCUGAUCAUGAUUAGAACCCCUGUUUCCCCAAACCUUUGCCUUCUUCUUUACCUCUCAGUUCUCAGUGUCUGCCACGUGGCUCUUACAAGGUAGAUCCCCAGAACGUGCCUGUUUAAGGAAUUUCAUACACCUCUAAUGCCAUAUGGGAGUUUGGGUGGCCGCUCUUCCUGUGCCCGAGGUCUGGGUCUCGUAGCUGUUCCACGCUCCCCUGGACCCUGCUACCUCGUUAACUUUCUCCUCUUCCUUUGCGGUCAGGUUCACUCAAGAUGAUGGCUUUUUUUUUUUUUUGUAGCUGAAAUUUUGUUGGAUUAACAAACCUCAGUUAUCCUACUUACCUUCCUCCUGGAAGAGAAGGUGGAGGUGGGAUGGUUGUAGUACCUUCAGAGCAGAGUGAGCUCCAGAACCCAGGAUCAGUGGAGAUCGGACAAGGCAGGGAGCAGGACCAUUGCACUUGGAUCUUGACCCUGCCUCAUCUUGUUAGGUGGUUUUUCUGAGGCUUAGUGACCUCAGUCAGUGACAUGGAGCCACUGUAAUCUACAGUGAAAUGCCUAAUAUAUUGCCAAGCAAACAGGCUCCUGACAGAAAGUGGUGCACCUCCCUUUCCCCUGCCCAGCUGUUUUAUCGGGGACUUAAGAAGAGUACGUAGCAGGUGGCUGGAGAAGGAAUGGGGGGAAGGGAGCUUGCCAGCCUUCAGUGAUACCAGAGGCAGGGGAGGAGGUGACCGGGCAUUGCACACCUGAAGCCUGCGAGGAAGUGCUUUUCCCUGACCUGGAGUAAAGACCCCCUUAACUUCUGCAUCGGGAAAACGCUGUGGGACCAGAGCCGUGAGGUCAGGGUGGGUGGUGGCAGCGUGAGGGUUAACCAGUGAUCCUUCCUGGGAGCCUCGUGACGCCAGGUUAGCUUCCCCUCUUUCCGAAUCGAAUCGCAGCAGUGGCUGCCUGCUUCCUGACGCUGCUGCAUCCCGUGGGAGGGGAGUUGGGCACCCUGAAGCCCCUCGUCACCGAUUCCGGGGCUGCAGAGCAGAGAGUGACGACAGCCCAUGAGUCGUCAGCCGACGGCAAUGGGGACCCUGGUGACGGCUGCUUUGUUGUGUUUUUCCUCUUUGGAUGAUGACUCAGUGUGUCGGGAGCUGGGAGAUGGGGCACUCAGCCGAAUGGCCAGGACGUUCUGUCAACAUGAAAGCAGCAAAAACAGCUUAUCGGGGCUCAGAGCCGACCCUUAGGCUGGGUUCAUUUUCGGGAAGGGCUUGGCAGAGAAGAGCACUUCUGGACAUCGGGGGUGGGGAGACAAGGCCAGGUAACCCAACAGGGGUCUGUGGACCCUUCAGUUUCAGAAACCAAAAAGAAAAUGCAGCUGCUUGUGUUAUUAGAUAAGCUUGGCAAACGGUCAUUUUACAAGCUCCUCUCACCCGUCCCAAACAAGAGACAUCUUCUCAGGGCCAGAAAACCCUCCGGGAUUUCUCACCAUGGCUCAUUGUCAUAGAUGGAGGGUGAGCCCGUCUCGGGUAGGGUGGGCCUGGGAGUCCUUAGUGAUCACUGGCAUUCCGGGGCCCCGGAAGCAAGAGCCCAUGGUGGGGACGUGGCGUCUCAGGUGACCUCUGCUGGCAUCACACCAGCAGACGGUGUCACCCACCAGAAGAUGGUGGGUCCACGUCACCGGCCUCAAGCCGAAGGCCAGCUCUGGCGCAGCCUACUUCAGCCUCCCCUUUCCUUAUUGUCCCGAGUCAAACUUACCUUCUCGCCUUUCAUCGUCCUCAAUUCCUUCUUAGGUGAAAUAGUGGGCCUUGAGUCCUUGACCUUUGUGUGUGUGUGUGUGUGUGUGCGUCAUCAUGGCGGCUCAGGGUUCUAGACUUUUCUUGAAUCUGCAGCAUUGCGCUAAGGGCGCGUGACAUUCCCCCCCGCCCCGCCCGCCCGGCCCCGCCCAACCAUGGCCAGCCAUGCCUUCUUGGGAGCAAGAGAGGCCUGGGCCUCCAUUGCCACUGAAUCUCAGGCAAACCACUAUCCUCAGCAUCUGGCUUCCCUUCUCUCCUCUGUCUCCCUCGGCCCUUGUCUGGGGACAGAGGAGCAAACAACUUGUGGGUGGGGAAUUGAGGACGGCCUGGCCCAGGACCACCCUGCCUAUGUACCCCUUAGGCCAUUUUUCAGUCUCCUGCUUUCCCAUAGAUGAUGCUUAGCACUGACAUUUGUCGCCGAGCACCUCCUCCGCUCCCCAAGGACCUCCCAGUGUGACUCAUUUGGGAUCUCUGCAAGGAGUGGCUUUGGGGCCUUGGGAGCCAGGGGGAGCAGGAAGACCUGGUGGAGGUCACAGUGGAGAGGUACGCAGGGCAAAGGACGAGAGCCGGCUGUCCCUGGCCCAGAAUGCAAAGGCAGCCCCAGCCCCUUUGUGUCAUGUCAUUUUGAGCCUGAAUAGAGAGCAACUUGACCUAAAAAAAAAAUCGUAUAUAUGUGGAUGUUAGAUCCUUUGUGUCUCUUUGUCCAGAAGCUGCGCAUAUGACGAGGGCUCAGAUUCUGUACUUCAGAGAGCUCUGCUGUCCCUCAGGUUUGUUUUCCGAAGGAGGUGGUAGUUCCUCUUUGAUGAGACCCUGUGCCCACGGGGACUGGACUUUUCUCCAGGACAAGGGGCACAGCCUUGUCUUGUUGCUAUCAUUGGAUAGUGAGCAGCAGCUGAAGACCAUGGUCCCGGGGCCACAUAUUAGCCCCAGAUGGAACCCUGAUUGGGGCUUGCAGAAUUCAUUGCUUGGCUGGCUGGCCCCAAGAGCUGAGCCUACCUGGCUUCCUUUCACUUCUUCCCCACUGAGAACUCAGAGGAGUUGAGCUCCAUGAGUCGGUGACAGCCUCUUGGAGACUCAGGCUAAGCUGGGGACAGAGCUGGUGUGCAGAAGACAGCCAUCAUACCGCCUAAUAGAAUGGCUUGCAUUUAUUUGGAACGAAAAAAGGAGAUGCCUGGCAGCCUGGCUUUCUGCAGCUAAGUAUUCGUCUGCAUUCUGGUUUUCCGUCACACAUCGGAAGCGAUAGAUGUUCAUUGAACCCACCCAGCUGCCGUGACUUCUCCUUUCCCCGCGCACCCCUGCCCCUGAUCCUCCAGCAGAGAUUGGAUUUUCUGGUGCGGCUGGAGAGCUGCAGAGAGGCUAGAUCCCAGUGUCCAGCCCCCGCACAUCGCCCUCACAUUCAGGAGAAGUCGAUUUUCCCUAAAGCGGAGCCUAAAGCCCAUGUCCCUCAGUGCGGUGUUAUUAAUGGGCCGACGGGAAGGGCCCUGCUUGCCCUCACUGCCCCCAGCGGGGAGGUGAGGCUCUCGGCUGGCUGGCUGGGGGAGGACGGUCCUUGCCAGCAUCUAGCAUGGUUCUCUGCCAAGUUCUAGCUCCAAAUCUCUAGGCCGCUAGGAACCUAGACUAUAUAUAGCAUUGUGCUAAGCAAUUCUUAUCGGACAUGUCUGCCCUCCCCUGCGGGAGAGGAGCCCUUCUCCCAGGGAACCGGAACCUAGAGAGUGUGAGCCUUCUCCAAGGGGUCUUUCGUUCCAGGAAGGGCUGUGUGUGUGUGUGUGUGUGUGUGCGCGCGCGCGCGCGUGGCUGUGUCUGCUUCAGGGCUGCCAAGCUUUCUUUCCUUUUCCCUGUUUCAGAUGCUGCGAGAUCGGAAGGUCUGAUUGGGAUGAGGGCCAGGAGGUUCUUGAUGGUGUGCGAUGUGGCCUAUGGCGUCCACCAGCCUCCCGCAUGUCUUCUUGGUUUCCUGUUUGCCUUCUUUGCCCAAGGAGGUCUUCUGACCUCUUGAGCUUCUUUUGGAUCUCCUGUCUUCCCUGCCCUCCUCUACCUCUUCCUCCUCCUUCCUUUGAUUCUCUUUCGGGUAUGUGACGGCAGACUGGGCUACGGGCAUCCGGGAGCUGUGUCUGCUCGCCGCCCUCACCACCGCCCCCUCCCCCCCCCCACCAGUUUGGGGUUUCUGGAAAUCUGGCUUUAGUCAGCCGUCCUCUGGAGGAAUUGGGUGGUGACUGAGCGUUUCGUGCUGGGUGGUACGGGGCAGAGCAGGCUGGAUAUUUGCCUCCUCCCUCCCGUAGGUGCUGUCGAGCCACCGAUUUUCUGUGGUUCCGCGACCCCGACCGAGUGCUGACUGAUGUGACAGGUUCCGGUCUUGUCAGUGAAUCAUCGCCAAGCUGCUUAUUGGAACCCAGAUGCAGCAAGAAAAUGGGAUUUAACCCCUUCCCAGCCUCUCAGGUAAGUCAGGUGUGGGCUGACGCUUCCGGCCCCACCCCCCCCCCCCCCAGCCCCCUUCCCUUCUCAUGGAGACCGUUUUCCUUAGUCAGUGGGGAAUCCUCAAACGUCUCCAUUCACAAUCUCCCAAACAAUGCUCUCUUCUUUCCAUUCUCCUACUCCUGGCUUUUCUGUGAAUGGGGUUAGUAACCAGCAAGGACUUGGGGGAAGGGCCAGCCACAGUGAUCCGGCUGCCGGGAUGUGGGAGAUGGCAGGGACGCGUUUCUGGGUGUGGCAGUCAGCAGAGCAGUUGGGCCUCCCACAGUGACUGGCCGGGAACUCUCCUUGGCCCCCAACAUCCAGCAUGAGAUUCUGGGUUUGAGCCCGGUUGGGGGCAGGGAGUCUGCCUGGGACUUGGGUGUGCCCUUGCUUGUGUAUCCCAGUGGAUGUUCACUCUGACUCUGGACACCUUGGGGCUUGCGUCUGCAGCCGUAGCCUGGAGUUUAGACUAUGGGCUGGGCAGUAGACUUCAGGGCUCUUUCUCCACUUGCGUGUGUCAUGGGGCUUGUUUUGGGGCUUUUUUUGUUUGUUUUUUUGUUUUGAGUAAAUCACUCUCUUCCUCUAGGCUCUCAUUGCCUUCACCUUAAAAAAAAAAAAAAAAAAUUUCCUGGCCUGGUAAACCAUUGCAAAGCAUCUACAGGCUGUUGACGUACAAAUGUUUUUUCUCUGCCUUACUUGAUGCUGGUCACAGUAAUAGCAACGGUGAUUAAAAAUGAUGUUGGGACUGCAGAACUGGGGAGGCCUGUCGCAUUCUAGAGACAGUUCAGAAAGCAGACCGUAGUCGCUUGCCACGCUGCCUACCAGGAAAUCUCCUAUUGAAUGCAUUCCUGCAACGUUCUGGGCGAGCAGGGUCAGGUUGGAAUUAGCCGACAGCGGAUUUGUCUGGGGUCUCAAGAUAAAAGGGAUGGUCCCCGGUAAUUUUACCGCACACUUGGCUGAUAUCUGGAGGCACCUGUGGGAUCCCACCUCUGCUCUCCCCACCCCCUUCCCAUCACUGGCCAGGAAGGACCGGUGAAUUCUGCCCGUCAGUGUUUUAUCUUCUCUCCUCCCCAUCUGACCGGAGGCUGAGCUGGCUGUGAGCAGCCUGAGGUCCUCCCGGAGUGAGGAAUCCGAGGCUGUUGGGAAGAGACACCCGACUCUUCUCUUCCCUGAAGGAAUUUGACAAGUCUCAGCCCCUCCAGCAGUAACGUGGGGAGGGAUGGCUGGGGGUGUUGGACCUGGAACAUGAAUAAAGAGGAGAGAUCAGCUUUGGUGCAGCUGGGGAGACGAGGAGGAGCUGGCCAAGUCCCUCAAGAUGUGUCGGCUAGAGUCUGGCCAGUGCAGGCUGCCGGGCCGGAGCCAGAUGGAGCCGCUGGCCACGCUCAGGAGCCUCUGCCCCCAUAUGGUGUGGUGUGGUCCCGGGCCUGGCUCAGGGUGGCCGCUGCUCCCAUUCACAGCCCUGCCCUGCCCUUGGCUGGACUGGGAAGAUCAGAGUGGGAAGCGGAGGGAAAGUUGAUUUUGCUCCUUGUGACGCAGUUGUCUGCGGGGCCUCUGGCGUUUCCAGACUUGGGGUGGGUGCUUCCCCGUUGAUUUUCCUCAUUUUGUUCGUCAUCUGCUUCCUUGCUCCCUGCUUACCGGGCUGGAUUCUGCUGCCAUGACACGGGCAUUACGUGUCCCCAGCCAAGCUAGCACCACGGUUGGCGUCCCCUGAGAGGGGGACCGGGCAUAUCUGGCACUCGGUUCUCAACCUUUGAACCCCUGCGCUCUGGGAGCCAGGAGGCAGAGUGGGGCCUCUCCAUCCGGGGUCCAGCAGAGGUUAACAGGGCUGGUGGUGCCGGAGCUGCGGUGGUGUGGCAUGGCCAGGAGGCGCUGGGGAGGGGCCCCGCCGGGGGACCUGAUUGGUCAGCACCUUCUCUGUUCCACUGAAUCCUGAGCCGGUCGGGGCCGUGAAUUGUUUAAUGCAUAUCUUGGCUCUGUCCCCUGGCACGAGGGCCUCCGAGGCUGCAGCCACAGCUUUAGCGAGGAUGUGUACCUCGUGCUGGUCACUGUUUUGGGCACGUUGCCUCCCUGUGAGAUAUGAAAGAGAUACUGCCCUUUCCACUAGCAGGCUGUCUGUGGGAGGCCCUCCUUUUGCGUUGCUUUUCUGGGCCUUGGAGUGUCUGUGAAGAAGGCCUGGGCUGGGUUUGAUUCCUUGCUGGCUCCUUUCACAGGAGGCUGCUCGUGAGCUGGUGAAGCCAGAGAAAACCUCCAGGCCCCAAGGCCCGUGCACAGCCUGAUGCGAUAGUGUCGGGCCUGGGCAGGAAGGAGCAGGGGCACGAGGAUGGAGCGAGGCACGCGGGGACGUGGUCGCGCAUCGUCUGACCACAGGAUCAGGGCAGCGGGGGUGGGGUGGGAGGAUGCGUCCGGCGUUCAACCAGCGGUGCCCGCUGCAGCCUGGAAUGGGCCUGUGUGUGCGUGGAGCCCAGGUCAGGGUCUGUAAUGAGGCGUGAGGCUAUGAGAUGGGCAUUGGGACUCUUGGUCCCGGCAGAGGGUCCCAGGAAAGGGAAACUGACUUUCGUUAAGCGUCUGCUUUGCUGGUCUGAUUUCAUCCUCAGAGCAACUGCAUGAAGUAGGUAUUACUUCCCUUCAACAGAUAAGGAAGCCGUGCGUAGUAAUUCACUGAACCAAGGUCACAUACUUGGCAGGUGGGAUUGUUGAGCUUUAAACCCCGGCACUUUGGAUUCCAAAGCCUGUGCUUUUUCUUCGCCCUCUUGGGUGGAAGUCAGACAUCUUUGGGAGCUAAGACCAUCAGAGAUCAGGCAGCCAGGAGAUCUGACGGAAACCGGUGUGAAAGGCCAGGUGCCUAGGGGGGGACGUGGCAGCCACUGGCCAUAGCCAUGCCAUAUCCCUUUCGGGGGGAGGGGGGCAAGGCAGAGGCAGCUAGUUUCUGGUGUCCCUGAACAGGCAGGGCUGAGCAUGGCAGAUACACCCACGCCACAAGUGUGCGCCCAGUCUCUGCUUCGUGGCGGGGUGUGUGCUAGGAGCUGGGGAUGCAGAACUCUACAAAACCAAGUUUCUGCUCUCCUGGGAUGUACUUUCUGGUGUAGGGAGAGGUCGUUCACGAUAAUAAAAAAGGAAUUAGGAACUAUAUAAAGUAUGCAGAUACACAAAGGGGGACACCCACCCAUAAGAAGCAGCGAUCCCAAUGUUGGUCGGGGAGGGAAUUUGAGAGACUGAAGGAUCUCGACCACCUGGGGAAGCCAUAUUGAUGGAGCCCCCAGAGUUCAAGUUGAUAGAGUUGCUAAUGCCUCUCUUUUCCUAAGAGCUGGAAGAACCACCCAAGGUCCCCAAAGCUUACAAGAACGUGCAGUGAGUCAGGGAUCAAGGUGGCAGUAGACGUCAAGCCGUUGGUCACCAGCAAACGAAGGUUUUUCCGUUAGCCAUGGCUGCUCUUGGCCUAAUGUCUCCCCCCCUCACCAGGUGGCAGCUGGCGCCUCUCUGCCUCGUCACGGUGCCCCUCUCUCGUCCACACCGACAGGGGAGCGCUCGGGUUAAGUCUUCGCCAAGUCACCAGUAAAAUAUGUGCCUGCAGGAGACAGAACUCAGCUCAGGCUCUCCUGGCAGAACCCGUGGUUCCAAGAUUAUCGCGAUAGGGACGGGUCAGGGGGCGGGAGAGGGAGGAGAAGUCACCUUGUGCCAGAUGCUUGGACAAGUUUUGUGUCCAAAAGAGGCUGAGGCAAGUUGGUGGCUGGAGAUGGGGGAGGGGAUGUCUCCAGCAUGUGCGGCUCCAGGGCUCAGGAGUUGUUUACAGGGUAGAAGCUUAUGGUGAGUCAGGCCACGUGAUUCUUCCCUCCCUGGCCCCGUGGUCGAAGCCUGCCCCACUUGAACCUCGGAGACUGCCACCUGCUGCCAGGGGGCAGAUGUUGCACGAAGGUGCGGUGUGGGUCUUGGGGUGUGGUUGUGGGAACUCCGGGAAAGGGGGCGUUCUGUGGAGUGGUAUAGAAGUCUCCACAGUCCCGUGUUCUGGCCCAGGAUCCCGUGGUAAAAUCUUACUCACUUUACCCUUUUGGGACUCACUUUCAUUAUUUAUCAGAUGAGGGGGUUGAACCAGAAUCUUCUGGGAGGUGCCUGCCGACUCUGACAUGGGGGCUACCUGGGUGUUCGCGGAGGUGUUUCUUAAGCAGAAACUCAGGUCGGGAACGAGCAGGCCUGACUUACGGGAGAGGGGAGGGGCCUUGAAGGAUCUGAGAACAGCUACAGUCCUGUUUUCUGCAGGGAUGCUGUCACCAUCAAUUAGGGCAGGUGGGUGGAGACAGUUUUCCAGGAACUCUUCAGGAGCGAGCGGGAAGGGGCCGGAGAUUGCGUGAAGGUGUCUCAGGAAGGUCACCCAAGUGACAGGGGUUGUGACCUCUGGCUCCCACCAAGGGGCCUGUCUGGAGCUGGGCAGUGUGGGGGUCUUUGCUGUGCCACAGGGGCUGAUCUGAGAUGCCACCGUGCUCUAGGGAAGAUGCUCUGUCCUUUGUGGCCCUGAAUCCUUGAGGGAACACGGGCCUACAGGUCCCGUGUCCUGGGCCUUCCCUGAGACGUCUGUUCAGGGUCUGUGCCCCUUGCUGUCAGGAAGUCUUCCUUUAUAUUUAGCCAUUUUUUUCUCAUGUGGUUGUUUAAGCCCUUCUAUUUAAAAAAAAAAAAAAAAGACAAGAGAAAAAAAACAAAAACAAAAAUAUCUCCGGGCCUCUUGGUUCCAUUUUAGCUUUUCAGUCUUGAGUCACUGUUUUAAAGGUAGCAAAAGUAAAACACAUGCAGGGAAGCUCAAGGCCCCAGACCCUCGUGGGCUGUUGUGAAAGGCCAGCCCGGGGAUAUGGCGGCCUCUGUCCCCAACGUCCCCCGCUUCUCCAAGGCUGCGUGGGUAGGAGCCCCUGGGGCUGCGGGCACGUGCUGCGCGGGCCGCCGAAUGGAAUGCAGGGUUUUCAAAUUAGCAAUUUGCCUUCAAGACACAAUCCGUGUGCUGCUUUACUGGACACUUACGCUGGGACUCGUAGCUGUGAGCCUGCCCCCUUCCCCACCAGGGUGGGGUGGCAAACAGGGAUUUGGGCCAGGAUUCAGGCAGGAGCCGAACUGAUCCGUGACCGACGUCUUAUGCACACCGUGUGUUGUUUUUGCAGCUCUUUUCAGACUCGCUGGCUCACUUGGUCCUCACACAGCCCUGUGAGGGUCGGUGGUAGGAUCCCCGUGGGUGUUCAAGCUCAGCCUCAGACAGCCCUGCUGAGGUCCGGUUUCUUGUACCUGCUUAAUUUGGGUCACCGCAGCCGCCCCCCUCCCCCCCCCCGCCCCCAGGCCCUCCGACUCCAGAUGUCAUUUCCUUGGGUUUCAGUUGUGCUCUUUAGCUGAGCAGGGGGGCAGGGCAGGGAUGGGGAGUGCAUCUUGGGUAGCCGACUUGAUCUCUGUAGGUUGCAGGUUUCUUUUCUACGCAUCGAAUGGGGAAGGGAGCCUCCGCCCAGGUUCUCCUGUUCUUGGAUUGUUUCAACUUCUCUUACGAGGAGUUCUUAUGAAACCUGGCUUGCCCUCCUUGACCAGGAAGCCAGCCAUUCACCAUGUGUCUCUGGUGAGACUCCCUACGUUUGGAAGCUUCUGGAAUAUACGGUGCUUUAGACCGUUCCGACACAUCUGUCGGGCACUUCAGGCAUGUGCAUGUAGCCCUGUUUCUGCCAAGUGGCUCACUUAGAAAUGAAGCCCCAUUGUGGGGCAUUUUUUUUCCAACAGAUUUAUAAGGUAUGCCCAGAGCUUUCUGCCCAGCGUGUGCAUCGUGUAUACGUUAUCUGUUUGCUGGCUAAUUAACAUACAGCACCCGCUGGAAGGAUUGGCCAAUGUAUUCUGUAAGCUGGUGGAACCAGUGGCUUCAGCUCUGAACGUUGCUUUCUGAUAGAGUUGAAAAAGUAGGCCUUACCCACAGAGGGGAAGGUGGAUCAGAGAACGCCUGGGCAUCAGUGUUCCCUGGAUACUGGGCGUAAGCCCACUCUUUAUGAGGAGGGUUGAGGCACAGCCUGGACUGUGUCUUCUGGGCCGCGUGGCCCUCUGAGUGGCCUUUAUUCAGAGAGACCCAGAGCGAGCCUGUAUGAAGGGAGAGAGAAGUACUUGUCUUUGUUUAUGGCACCCUUAACUCGUGAUGGUUGGGCUCACCUCGGGCACGUUUCUUGAAGGAUCGGGGUCGGACAGCGUGGCAGCACGCAUAUGUCUGUCCGUUUGUAUUCCCCGGAUGCAGGCUUGGCUCGUAGAGAAGCCCUGCCAUGGGGAAUCCAUAGAAGAAUUGUUUUGCUGGAGCGAAGGCUUUUGAUAACUUUUGUGUGAAGAUGCGUCACACCACACCCAGAUCUUUCUGUUCUCCUGGAGGAUGGGAAGGAGGAUGGCAGGACCUGUAGCUGGGAAGCGAUCUAGGCCAGCCUUCAGGGAGGGCUGUGGCGGCCUCUUCGCUGAGGGCUCCCAAAGAGACACAGAGCUUCUUUAUCUCAGAAGAGGGACUGGAUGUCCCUGUCGAGGUCCCUCGGGUCCUGAGCGUGUGGGACUGUGAGGCUCUCCCUGGAACAGCGUGAACUUCGGGUACCAGGACCCAGAGCAGAUUGCACAUCUUUUCUUUCUGCCGUGGAGGCAAGCCUAUCCUCGGUGGGCCCCACGAGCAUCGGGCCUGGAGCUCUAACCUUGUUCCCUCGUGCAGAGAGAAUUCCCAGAACUGACCCGAACAGCAUUGAUAUUAUUUGCAAAUAAAAAAAAGGAGAAAGCCAUGUUGUCCCUCAUCGCUGCCAGGAAAGAGCCCCGAGCGGCUCUAAUCCUGUCUUUGUACCGCUGCCACUCCCCACCCUUGCUGACCCCCCCAGCCUAGGGCCCUUUGAUAGGCACUAGAGAUGUGAAUGAGUUUGGUGGGAAGGCCAAGGGCAGGGACAGACAUGGUUUGCUGGGAAGAAGGUAGGACAAGGAAAAGGAGUAUCUCAGGGCAGGCCCACGGGCACACACGUGUGUAUUCAGAUGGACAUACUAUUUACUGGUAACGCCAGAGUCUGACAUGAACCAGUUAAUGCCUAAAUGAGGGUUGAUUUCGUGUGGAGAAUCAUACAUCAUUUUGUGUUUCAGUCUGCAGCUUUAGCAUCAAAAGGCCUGACAGGCUGGGGACUUUUCGCUGGGCCCUCCUGUCUGUAAGAUCAUGCUCAUUUUAUAUUGAUUUUCUGUCUCCUUUCUUUCCUGUUUUCCACUCUCAUGCAUUCCUUAGGUGUACAUGAAUAUUUGUCCACGCAUUCGUGUUACGACUUCCUUGGGGUACUGUUCUUUUCAGUGUCUCCGACAUCAUUGAAUGUAUUGCUUUUAUUUAAAAUGUGAACAGGCCAGAGGCUCACUGCAGAGGGGAGCCAUCCUUGCACUGCCCACAGAAUCCUCUUCUCCACCUUGUUCUGGAGUAGGGCAUAGACGGGAAUCAAGGGUGUCUGUGGGAACCAGCCAGACCCCGUGCCAUGCCCCCUCUUUGGGAAGGGGUUGCUCAGGCAUGAAUCUCCCACCCCUAACAUUAUUAGCAGUUUCUUCUUUUCAGCUCGAACCCUGAGUAGUGGCCUUGAAAGUCCAAGAACACCUGUCACCCUGCUUAGGUGAGGGCGACAGAGAGGGACGGGGACAGACGGGAAGGGGACACACGCUCCUGGCCACGGGCCUCUCUCCAAGACAGGUGAACUCUGUGUUCCAAAAGGAACUCAUUUAAUCUUUUGGCCCCAAUGGAAGUUGUUUGUAUUUUCUCUCCCUCUCUCUUCUCCCUCCUCUCUCUCUCCCUCAACACCCCCGCCUCCACCCUCCAGCCUCCAAAAGAAUUUAAUCUGCUGGACAACAAACAAUACUGUUAUAAAACUUUGAAAACAAGAGGGUGAGGCCUCCCUGACAAGGAGAAGGGCAUGCCGGGUAACGGCCGAGGGAGCCUGCCAGGCCCGGGACGGAGCCGGGCGAGGGCCCAGUUGGCCGGGUACCUGGGCGCCUGCCCCCACCCAGCCCACCAGCCCAGCCAUCCCCAGUCCAGAGGGGAAGGAACCGAAACAAAAGCAGGGGCAGAGAAGCGCCUGGAAAGGGGAAGUUGUACGUGUUCCCCUCUCUCUGAUCUGAUGCGAGUGCGCCAGACUGUGAAACUUCCUCCCCCACCCCUCCCCCGCCAGCCUCCCUCCCUCCUCGUCCUGCCUCCUCCUGCCUCCUCCCACCACUCUCUGUUCCAGGCCCGAGGCCCGAUAACAGAACAGGGCUGGCCUAGGUACAGCCACCGGCCGGCCGGCCGGCUGCAGGGGAAGCAGGCAAGGAAGGUGUUCCAAGUUGGCUUUGGACUCUGGACGUACCCUCUGUGUCCCCUUCCUGCCCCCAGCUAGAGAUGUGGAGCCACGGUGCGAGGUGUGCCCCAGUCCACGUGCCCCGCCAGGGGUGUGCCCAGCUACCGGGAGAACCUCCGCUCGGAGGUUAGUGGGUCUGUCCCACUACCCGGUGUCUGCUGGAGGCCAUGCUCCCAGGAGGCCGUCAGACUCGUACCGGUGGCCUGCUCUCCCUCCAGAGGGAGCCGGGCUGAGCUGUAGAGCCCUGGAGCCUCCAGAGGGGCUCGGGGGACAGAGACUUGCUCCCCGCAUCAAGCAGGCACAGGGUCCUGGCAGCGGGGUGCCUGGUGGGGUACCGUGUCUGCUGCUCGGGGUGACCCAGCUCCGCCUGGGGAGCAGGCAAGCUGGGCGCUGGGGCAUCGCCCCCCAGCCUUCUGAGUGGAUUUCACCUGAGACCGAAGUUUCGCUGCCACGCCCACCUGCACUGCGUGGAGCACAUGAUUUGGGACGGGAGAGUGAGAAGCAGCGGUGGUCUGCCUUUGGCCCAAGGUUGUUUGGACCUGUGAACCGUGUGGUGGGCAUUGUGUUUGUGUAAUGGACUGUAGGCGUGCUCGCUUUCCUCUCGUGGGAAGCAGUUCAGGGCACUGCCCGUCCUCCUGCUCUGCCUGAGCGAAGCCUCUCUCUGGGGAAGCGUGGGGGGGCCCCCCCUCUUCAUUCCAUCGCUCCUCCUUCUCUGCGCUCCCCACUGUCCCCUGCUGCCCCCCCCCACGCCCCACAGCACCCCAAGGCAUCCCAUCCUCCCAGCCAGCCGACCAGCCAUCCCGAGCCUGGGCCUGUCCUGAAUCUGGAGGAUUUCCAGAUGCGGGUCUUCUCUGGUGUUGAGGCAGGGACAGAGAACUGAACCGGGUGGAAAGCAGCUGCCUGGGAACUCAGGCCGCGGUACCCCGGCCCCAGGGAAAACCGGCAUUGCUGACGUGGGGCCCAUGUGAUAUGAGAAGGCUGUGACCUCCUGCCCUGUUACCUCCACAGGCAUUUGAGGGGCUCGGUGGGUCUAGAGCGUGUUAUUCUCACUUCGGGAUGCCGGGUCUGGGACGUGUAGGGAUGCCUGGAUGCCCCGCCCUUCUUUUGGGGGCCACGCUGCCAGGGAAAGAGCCAGCUCCAUGUUUCCUGCCUCCCUCACCCUCCAUUCCCUCCUCCCUUGCCCCCCGUGCACAUACCCAUACACAUUUUAUCACCCUUUCCUCUGAUUCAUUAACCACAGCUAGUUGGCAACAGGCCCCCACCCUGACAGCUCAAGACAAAAUGUCCAGGACACUGGGUCUGGCCUGGAGCUGAGUGACAGGAAGCUGGGCCGGGCCUCUCGGCUCACGCAUACAAUGGGCAAGGACCGUGUGGAGUGCAGAACCUUCCUCAUUUUCAAAAGGGUCUUCCCCAGGCCCCUCUCUCUCACCAAGAUGACUCUUCUUCGCUGCCAGGAGCCUGGAAACCAGCAUCCCGGGUAGCAGGAAGACCUGAUCUGGGCUCUGCUUCCGGCACCCCUCCCCCGCGCCGGCUGGAGCUUGCGUCAGUCAUGUAAGUAGCCGUGACUCAGCACCCAGCCUGGUCGGGAGGGAGGCAGAAGACGCCUCCCAGGAACCUUCCCAGCAUUCUGGAUUUGAACACAUGGUGGUAGCUGAACACACUGAACGAGCUGGCGGCCUUCGGUUCCUGGGGGUGCGUGUCUGUCCGUUCCGCGGGUUUGCUUAUAGGUCUCAUAAACCGGGGUUCCUCUCCUUCCCGUUUUCAUCCCGUGUUAUUUUUUGGACCCCAUGCCUGGCAUAGGAUUUUUAGGACUUUAAAAGGCACAGACGGCAUCAUUUCUAGAACGCAGCAGAAGCUCUCUUUGCAGUCUCCAGACUGCCCUUUAAACCGAUGGCCCGUGAAUCAUCUUUAACCCUCAGAUGUUUUUGUUUGACUUACAGAGUUUUCAUUGUUUUUGUUUGUUUGUUUGUUUGUUUAACGUGUCCGAUUCAGACAUGCUUUUAGACAAAACACAGCCUCUCCAGGUCACUGGACCUCUGCUGCACGAGGUCUCUGCCUCUCUGUCCUGUUUCCCACCCCAGCCCUCAAGCAUUUGAAUGCACGGAGACUGGUCUGCAUGAGCCCUCCCUCGUUUUGGAAAAACUGGGGCCCAUUCCAGGGAGGUGCGGGUCCCCCGUUCUCAAGUCUGGGCCGCGCAGGAAUUAAAGCCCCUGUGUUCUGAUUCACUGUGUGGUGACCUUUCCUCCACCCUCGGUCGCUGCCCGGGCAGAGGAGUGUCUAGGCAUGAGGGGGUGGAAAACCCUCCAAAUAGAACGUCUGCACAGAAAUGGACGGAGGCUGCACCGUGCUUCCCAGACCUUCUCCCUGCGUGGUGGCGUACCCAGCUCUCUGGCUGGGCGGUUUCCCUUCCCCGACAGCGCACCAGACCCUUCCCACUGGCCCGUGUGCGUGGGACUGUUGGGCCAGGCUGGGACGAUCACACCGUCCGCCUUUGACAGCAGAGCCCUAGCAGGCUGGGGCCUCCAGCCCCCGUUAGACCACCUGGCCCCGUCCAACAAGGGAACAGAAACACCAGCUAGCUUCAGGUAAGUGCAUCCUUGCUCGAUGGACUUUUGCCAGAAAAGCCUGGUUCCCCUGGGAGGGCUGAGACCCGAGCAGACUCCUGUUCAGUGGGGUUGGGAGGGCAGAAGGUGUUGGUACUAGGAUUACUUACCCCACCCCCACCCCCGCACGCCCCGCCUUUUCUUGUCUUACGGUGUUUAUGUUCAUGUGUUGUGAAUGAUUUCUCUCUUCCUCCAGAGAACUGAGUGUUGUAGACCUCGGUCUGGGGGCCCAGACCCUGGUUCAUGGCCCUCGGUUCCCUCAGUGACGGUUGCCACUCCCCCUCUGAACUCAGGGCCGAUGCUUCCUGGGUAGCGGGAGAGACUGUAAUGAAUCCCCCUGAUGACCAUGUGACGUACGUGCGUCCUGAAGGACAAGAACUAGGUGCUGUGAGAGGGCGUAACCCAACACCUGGCUCACCUGGGGAAAGCUUCAGGCGACCUGCGUCACCUGGGAGAGGGUUGAUGGGGUGGUAGCCCUGGGAGAGUGGACGACAGAGAAUGUUCCAGAAAGAGGGAAUGGUGUACACAGAGGCCUGCUAGGGGAGGAAGGAGGCUGUCUGGAUCACUGAAAGACACCUGUGUGACAAUACCUUGGGAAAGGUUUUGUGGAUACUGGCAGUCGGGGGUUACUAAGGAGGAAGAGUUUGGCUGGAGUAAAAAGCAAAAAAGCUGAGAAGUAGCAAAGGUAGAUCUCCAACCCCCUCGUUUUAUAGGACCCCACAGAAAUGACUGUCAUUUACCACUUACUUCCUGACCUUAAAACCCUGGAAGUUAACCUGUGUCGCGGGGCCCAGCUGUUGACUGCAGGUGCCCUGUGUCAGAGCUGCUGCCCAGCUCCUCCCUCAGUGGCUGGGGCC